This 72-nucleotide transfer RNA is filed under the name Scytalidium sp. RNAcentral describes it as "tRNA-His". The record is from RNAcentral. Lineage: Eukaryota; Fungi; Ascomycota; Leotiomycetes.
GGAGGAUGUAGUUCAAUAGGUAGAGCAACUGUAUGUGGCACAGUCCGUUCCCUGUUCAAGUCAGGGUGUCCU